UACGGAGGAUGCGAGCGUUAUCCGGAUUUAUUGGGUUUAAAGGGUGCGCAGGCGGAAGAUCAAGUCAGCGGUAAAAUUGAGAGGCUCAACCUCUUCGAGCCGUUGAAACUGGUUUUCUUGAGUGAGCGAGAAGUAUGCGGAAUGCGUGGUGUAGCGGUGAAAUGCAUAGAUAUCACGCAGAACUCCGAUUGCGAAGGCAGCUUACUAAGCCAUAACUGACACUGAAGCACGAAAGCGUGGGGAUCAAACAGG
Molecule: ribosomal RNA, 252 nt
Filed under: uncultured Bacteroidales bacterium
Lineage: Bacteria; Pseudomonadati; Bacteroidota; Bacteroidia; Bacteroidales
Description: partial 16S ribosomal RNA
Rfam family: Bacterial small subunit ribosomal RNA
Source: RNAcentral